GGAAUCUUCCACAAUGGGCGAAAGCCUGAUGGAGCAACGCCGCGUGUGUGAUGAAGGUUUCGGCUCGUAAAACACUGUUGUAAGAGAAGAAUGACAUUGAGAGUAACUGUUCAAUGUGUGACGGUAUCUUACCAGAAAGGAACGGCUAAAUACGUGCCAG
Molecule: ribosomal RNA, 160 nt
Filed under: uncultured bacterium
Lineage: Bacteria
Description: partial 16S ribosomal RNA
Rfam family: Bacterial small subunit ribosomal RNA
Source: RNAcentral